GACGAACGCUGGCGGCGUGCUUAACACAUGCAAGGCAAGGGGAGAGGCCCUGCUUGUGGGGUGCGCUCGAGUGGCGAGCGGGUGAAUAACACGAGAAUAACCUGCCCGUGACUGUGGUAAAACUUCAGGAAACUGGGGCAAAUACGGGAGAGGAGCUCCUUCUGCAGGGGGGGGGUGGGAGAGUUGCGGCGGUUGGGGAUGGACUCGGGGCUUAUCAGCUUGUUGGUGGGGUAGUGGCUUACCAAGGCUUUGACGGGUAGCCGGCCUGAGAGGGUGACCGGCCACAUUGGGACUGAGAUACGGCCCAGACUCCUACGGGAGGCAGCAGUGGGGAAUAUUGCACAAUGGGCGGAAGCCUGAUGCAGCAACGCCGCGUGCGGGAUGACGGCCUUCGGGUUGUAAACCGCUUUCGCCUGUGACGAAGCGUGAGUGACGGUAAUGGGUAAAGAAGCACCGGCUAACUACGUG
Molecule: ribosomal RNA, 468 nt
Filed under: uncultured bacterium
Lineage: Bacteria
Description: partial 16S ribosomal RNA
Rfam family: Bacterial small subunit ribosomal RNA
Source: RNAcentral